Molecule: ribosomal RNA, 475 nt
Filed under: uncultured bacterium
Lineage: Bacteria
Description: SSU rRNA
Rfam family: Bacterial small subunit ribosomal RNA
Source: RNAcentral
AGCCUGAACGCUGGCGGCGUGGCUAAGACAUGCAAGUCGCACGGUGUAGCAAUACACAGUGGCGAACGGGUGAGUAAUGAAUCGCUAAUGUACCCCGGACUCUGGGAUAGCUAGCCGAAAGGUUAGGUAAUACCAGAUGAUAUACUUCUAUCGCAUGAUAGAAGUCUCAAAGGUCCGCCGGUCUGGGAGCAGGCGAUUUCGUAUCAGCUAGUUGGUGAGGUAACGGCUCACCAAGGCGACGACGCGUAGCCGGACUGAGAGGUUGGCCGGCCACACUGGAACUGAGACACGGUCCAGACUCCUACGGGAGGCAGCAGUGGGGAAUCUUGCACAAUGGACGAAAGUCUGAUGCAGCAACGCCGCGUGGGGGAUGAAGCUUUUCGGAGUGUAAACCCCUUUCGACCCGGAAGAAUGCCCGCAAGGGUUUGACGGUACGGGUAUAAGAAGCCCGGCUAACGUACGUGCCAGCAGCCGC